AGUUGUUGGGUUCUGCAUGUCGUUGUUCUGUCUAUUUCUAUUUGAUUUAGCACUUAUUUGUUGGGUUUUUGUGAAAGAUUGUUGGGUGUUUGUCUGAUUUGGUGUUUUUGUGACAGAUUCUUGGGUGUGCGACUGAGUUGGGCGAGGAGAAGGAGGCUGAUUGUGGAGGAAAUGGGAGAGGAAUCAAAGCGAAAGAGAGUGAUAAAAUUUCCUAGAGACUGAAGGGGUUGCUGAUAGUUUUUUGAUUCGACCAAGAGGAGGAGCAUGAUUCUGGUGGUUUGAUGGCUGUUCUGCAUCUAGCUGGAAAGAGUACUCCUAUUGUCUUUCAGUUUUGGAUGAUAGGAUUUUGAAUAGAGACAAGCAGAGAGGAUAUUUAGUUUUUGGGAACAAGAAAGAAAGAAAGAGGGUGAGGU
Rosa chinensis is the source of this 413-nucleotide long non-coding RNA. RefSeq lists it as uncharacterized. The transcript has 4 exons. NCBI's taxonomy places the organism in Eukaryota, Viridiplantae, Streptophyta, Magnoliopsida, Rosales, Rosaceae. The record is from RefSeq and is a predicted model, not a curated record.